GAAUAUGAAGCGAUUUAUUGCAAUUAGUUUCGACCUAAUCUUAGGUUUCUAAAACCCUUAUUCU
Molecule: non-coding RNA, 64 nt
Organism: Ceratitis capitata (Mediterranean fruit fly)
Lineage: Eukaryota; Metazoa; Arthropoda; Insecta; Diptera; Tephritidae
Source: the annotation of a RefSeq genome assembly